This 385-nucleotide ribosomal RNA is filed under the name uncultured bacterium. RNAcentral describes it as "bacterial SSU rRNA". It matches the Rfam family "Bacterial small subunit ribosomal RNA", at positions 30 to 416 of the family's 1533-position model. The record is from RNAcentral.
AUUGAACGCUGGCGGCAUGCCUUACACAUGCAAGUCGAACGGUAACGGGCCUUCGGGUGCCGACGAGUGGCGAACGGGUGAGUAAUGCAUCGGAACGUACCUUUCAGUGGGGGAUAACGUAGCGAAAGUUACGCUAAUACCGCAUAUUCUGUGAGCAGGAAAGCAGGGGAUCGCAAGACCUUGCGCUGAUUGAGCGGCCGAUGUCAGAUUAGCUAGUUGGUGAGGUAAAGGCUCACCAAGGCGACGAUCUGUAGCGGGUCUGAGAGGAUGAUCCGCCACACUGGAACUGAGACACGGUCCAGACUCCUACGGGAGGCAGCAGUGGGGGAAUUUUGGACAAUGGGGGCAACCCUGAUCCAGCCAUGCCGCGUGAGUGAAGAAGGCC